GUCCCUGUGAAGAGCACUAGACCAGGAAGUGCCGUAUGACACUGUAAACAGCAGCCGCUUCUCUGCUUCUGCAAGUGUCCAUCUCUGUAUCAUAACCUCUGUGGUUUGCUCUGGGAUGGAAUACCAUUUGCACUGGCUUGAUUCAGCUGUGUGUGUGAUUUGAAACGGGUCUCUGAGGGAC
This is a non-coding RNA of Triticum aestivum (bread wheat), 181 nucleotides long. The record is from Rfam. Lineage: Eukaryota; Viridiplantae; Streptophyta; Magnoliopsida; Poales; Poaceae.